AUGGAGUAUGUGCAAAGGAGACUAAAAUCUCUGCACCUAUCCGAGGCAGAGAAGAAGGGAGUGAAGCUAGGAAGGAGGAAUGCGAGCCAGCUAGGAUCUGGGAAGCUACAAGCUCUUGGCAAAGUGAUGUCGGAUAGACCAGCGAGGAUUGACACACCGGUGAACACCUUGGAAAGAAUCUGGUGCCCUUUCAAUGGGAUUGAAUGCUAGGACUUGGGCAUGAACAGAUUCCUUUUCUCCUUCGGAGAUGAGGCAGGGAAGAAAAAUGCCCUCAAUGGAGGUCUCCGGAUGUGCAACAAAAGCUUGCUAGUGAUGGAGAAUUUUGACCCAAAGAAGACCCUGAAUGAGUAUGAAUUCAGAUUAAUACCAAUUUGGGUAAGAAUCUACGGCAUUCCCAUGGGAUCAAUGAGUAAGGAAUCAGGUGAAGAAAUAGGGAAGAAUAUUGGCGAAGUAUUAGAUGUUGAUGUGGAUGAUUGCGGAAUGGCGAUGGGAGAAUAUUGGCGAAGUAUUAGAUGUUGA
RNAcentral lists this ribosomal RNA (519 nucleotides) under Triticum aestivum (bread wheat). Its description in RNAcentral is "partial small subunit ribosomal RNA". The record is from RNAcentral. Lineage: Eukaryota; Viridiplantae; Streptophyta; Magnoliopsida; Poales; Poaceae.